This 2005-nucleotide long non-coding RNA is filed under the name Homo sapiens (human). RNAcentral describes it as "HSALNT0340586". The record is from RNAcentral. Lineage: Eukaryota; Metazoa; Chordata; Mammalia; Primates; Hominidae.
GUCACAUCAUAUCAACCUUUCAUUCUCCAGUUUGAUCUCUGCAAAAACUGGUUGGAUCAGUCCUGACCCUUAGGCUAUGUGAUUGGCAAAUCUGAUGAUACUCUGCAUGGAAUGUGAGAUUAGGCCCCAACAGGAGUCACUGUCCAAACCCCUAGGGCUCCGGACCAAGGUCAUGCCAUCUGCAGCAGAGAACCAAACACCACUUGUAAAGCAUUUCCUGGCAUGCCACUCAGCAGAGUGUCUGACCAUAGGACAUUAAGUGACCAUGUGGCCAUAACUGCCCAUUAUGAGUUUGGUGCUGUCAGACCCACUAGGUCAUAAGCCAUCCAUCAUAAGAUGGAAAUGGUAUAUCUGGAAUCAGGCUUGAGCAGGUCCAGAUGGCACAGAUAAGCUGCAGGGACAGGUGGCCCAGACCCACCUGCCAUCUACCACUGUUGCACGAAUAUUGGCCCCUGUGCCUCUCUUUCACCCACAUGCAAAUAUGGCCUCCUGGUGGGGGGUGUCUUUUGUCUAGCUGCUGGAGGAGGGAAAAACCCAUCUAUGCAUUGAUCAUGGAUAGGUUAGUUUGGAAUGUUGAUGCAAGCUGGAAAUGGACUUCUGCUGUACUUCAGCCCCACUCAAGGUGGCCCUGAAAGACACUGGGGAGAAGAAAUCCUCUUAGUAGAGUUUUGGAGGGUGCACCUGCUUAUUCACUUUGUGUGGAGAGAGAUGUGGCCUAAGGUAAAUAUAGACUCAUGGACAUUGGUGAAUAGCUUAGCUCGUUCUUCAGUAGCUUGGAAGGAGCAACAUUAGAAGAUUGUGGAAAAGUGGUGGCAUGGGGAAAAGUUGUAGAGCUAAACCUGUGUGAGUGGGCACAAAGUAUGAGACAUUAAUGACAGCCAGAAACCACUUCUUGUGGAAGAGGCAAUAAUAACCAAGUGGAUAGGAUGGGCAGGCAGCUGAAUGUCGGCCACCAUGCACUCAGAAAUAGAUAGUCAUGGAGUCAGAGAAGGAAGCCAUGCCUGUGCCCAGAAGCAUACAUUCCCUCUCAUCAAGGCUGACCUAGUUUUGCUGCUGUUGAAUGUAAGAACUGCCAGCAAUAGCGACUGGUGCUGAAUUCCUGGUAUAACACUGCUCCUGGAGGAGACCAACCAGCCACUACUGGGUGACAAGUUGGCUAAAUCGGGCCCCUUCCAACCUGGAAAGGGCGGCAUUUUCUCUUGACUUGGAUUGACAUGUAUUCCAGCCAUCAAUGGACUUGCCUUUCCUACCCUCAGUGCAGCAGCCUGUCCUGCUAACCAAGGAAUCACAGAUAGGGUGGUGGAGCAUCCUCUUGGAGGCACAGUGGAGCUGUCAUCUUGAAGAUGACACCCAUGAGGAGGGCCCAGUCUCCUCCAGAAUGCAAUAUGCACUCUAAUGGCUAUGGGAUGAGGCCAUGUUCCUGAAAGUUUUCCCUGAAGCUGUGCCUGGAUGGAGAGAGCUUAAAGUGGAAAGCAGUAGGUCUGAGCAGUCAAGGGGUGGACUGUAGUGCCUGCUGUUGGCACCUCACUGGCUGACUGGCCUGCACACCCAGCCUUUAGCCGCAGUGAGCAGCAGCUGCAGACUGCUCACAGCUACACCCUUCUCCUGAGAGUUUCCUGGAAAUGCCUGGAAGAUCUUCCCUCCCCACUGGCCCUCAGCUGGUGGCUUUGAUACAGGCUGGCAGCAGACAAACGAUGCAGGCAGGCAGUGAGACUCAGAUUGGGUCCUCCUGUCGGAACAGCUGGGAUAUGAUGUCCAUGCCCUCUCCCAGGACCCAGGUGGAACUUGAAUACUGAUUCAUCAUACUCACUUUUCAUUUGGAGAGUGAAUUUUGGACUGAAAUAAAGGGAGAUGUUCAGCCUCAGGUGUAGAAGCAGUGAGACAAUUUCCCACCACGGAGGAAGAUGAAGAGCAGGAGAGGAGAGGCUGGCGGCUCCCAGGAGCAGAUCACCUGCCCCCACUGCAAGGCCCCCGUGUGCUCAAUAAACUGACCCUUGCGCAGAGA